GCCUGGGUGGCUCAGUUGGUUGAGCGUCCGACUUCAGCUCAGGUCAUGAUCUCGCGGUCUGUGAGUUUGAGCCCCACGUCAGGCU
Felis catus (domestic cat) is the source of this 85-nucleotide non-coding RNA. NCBI's taxonomy places the organism in Eukaryota, Metazoa, Chordata, Mammalia, Carnivora, Felidae. The record is from Rfam.